CCUCAGUAGUUAGAUAACAAAACUACUCGCCAGAAUACUACGAGCUACAGCUUAAAACUCAAAGGACUUGACGGUGCUUUACACCCCCUAGAGGAGCCUGUUCCGUAAUCGAUAAACCCCGAUCCACCCCACCCUCUCUUGCUCAGCCUAUAUACCGCCAUCUUCAGCAAACCCCAAUGAAGGUCACAAAGUGAGCGCAAACGCCACCACCGCGAAUACGUUAGGUCAAGGUGUAGCCUAUGAGACGGUAAAAAAUGGGCUACAUUUUCUACCUCAGAAAAUUCCACGAAAGCCCUUAUGAAAUUUAAGGGCCCAAGGAGGAUUUAGCAGUAAAUUAAGAAUAGAGUGCUUAAUUGAACUAGGCCAUAAAGCG
RNAcentral lists this ribosomal RNA (373 nucleotides) under Macaca mulatta (Rhesus monkey). RNAcentral's name for it is "partial 12S ribosomal RNA". It matches the Rfam family "Bacterial small subunit ribosomal RNA", at positions 801 to 1381 of the family's 1533-position model. The record is from RNAcentral. Lineage: Eukaryota; Metazoa; Chordata; Mammalia; Primates; Cercopithecidae.